Molecule: long non-coding RNA, 303 nt
Filed under: Ricinus communis (castor bean)
Lineage: Eukaryota; Viridiplantae; Streptophyta; Magnoliopsida; Malpighiales; Euphorbiaceae
Description: long non-coding RNA (RCOM_LNC000283)
Source: RNAcentral
GGUGAAUAAAUAAGGAGAGGAGACAGAAAGACUAUUUGGGUCUGACAGAAGGCAACUCGGUAGGAGACCAACCCAUUGAACAUCAUGGUACACAUCAAACACAUAUAUGUAUGAGCAACAUCAUUUUUGAUGCAGUGUCAUGGACUCUGUGAUCUCCAUCAUCAACAGUUGCCGACAUUUAUGUUUACAACACACAUGCACCUUUGCCUCUCUACAGUUGCUGGGUUGCUGUAUUUUCACCCUCUAUAACUAAUGUUAUUAUUAUUAUUAUUAGGCUCGUAAGUUGGUGAUGGAAUGUUUACG